AGUUUGAUCAUGGCUCAGGAUGAACGCUGGCGGCGUGCUUAACACAUGCAAGUCGAACGAAGCCAAAAGGAAGCUUGCUUUCUUUGAAGCUUAGUGGCGGACGGGUGAGUAACGCGUGAGAAACCUGCCCUUGAGUGGGGAAUAACACCGAGAAAUCGGUGCUAAUACCGCAUAAUGUCACGAUACCGCAUGAUAUUGUGACCAAAGGAUUUUAUUCGCUUAAGGAUGGUCUCGCGUCCGAUUAGCUAGUUGGUGAGGUAACGGCCCACCAAGGCGACGAUCGGUAGCCGAACUGAGAGGUUGAUCGGCCACAUUGGGACUGAGACACGGCCCAGACUCCUACGGGAGGCAGCAGUGGGGAAUAUUGGGCAAUGGGCGAAAAAGCCUGACCCAGCAACGCCGCGUGAAGGAUGACGGUCUUCGGAUUGUAAACUUCUUUGAUUGGGGAAGAAUAAAUGACCUACCCAAAGAACAAGUCACGGCUAACUACGUGCCAGCCGCGGC
RNAcentral lists this ribosomal RNA (504 nucleotides) under uncultured bacterium. RNAcentral describes it as "bacterial SSU rRNA". It matches the Rfam family "Bacterial small subunit ribosomal RNA", at positions 10 to 518 of the family's 1533-position model. The record is from RNAcentral.